This is a long non-coding RNA of Gorilla gorilla gorilla (western lowland gorilla), 859 nucleotides long. RefSeq lists it as uncharacterized. Lineage: Eukaryota; Metazoa; Chordata; Mammalia; Primates; Hominidae. The transcript has 3 exons. The record is from RefSeq and is a predicted model, not a curated record.
GAGUGUGCGUUCCUGAAUCAAAGGGAAAAAAAAAGCCAAUGCAAUGCUGGCCAUAUGAUAAAUUGUUUUAGGAGUCACCAUACCUCCCAAGAGCAAAGACAAACGGUGACUCUAUCUGGAACAUGCUGUGGUCUUAGCAUCAUUUCUUAGCAUCUUUUUUUUUUUUUUUUUGAGACGAAGUGUCACUCUGUUGCCAGGCUGGAGUGCAGUGGCACGAUCUCUGCUCACUGCAACCUCCGCCUCCUGGGUUCAAGUGAUUCUCCUGCCUCAGCCUCCCGAGUAACUGGGACUACAGGCAUGUGCCACCAUGCCCAGCUAAUUUUUGUAUUUUUAGGAGAGGCGAGGGUUUCACCAUGUUGGCCAGGAUGGUCUCGAUCUCUUGACCUCGUGAUCUGCCUGCCUCAACCUCGCGAAGUGCUGGGAUUAUAGGCGUGAGCCACUGUGCCCGGCCAGCAUCAUUUCUUUUUAAGAAACCCAUAGAGAGCUGGGAAAUGACCAUAGAAAUGCAACUGAAACAAUACAUUUUUGAGUGUUAAAGAAGGUUCCCUAAAAGUUUACUCAAAAAACUGAAAGCUGAGGAAAGAAGAGAUAAAAUCCAAAGAACCACCAAAGGUUUAAUUAUAAAUUGGACAGUGACGCUGCCCUGAAGUUUGGAGAGACCGAAGGCUGCACCGUUGGCUUCCCUACUUUUGAGGUUUUGGGACUUGGACAGAUCCACUACUGGCUUCCUCUCUCCUCAACUUGCAGACGGCCUAUCGUGGGACUUCACCUCGUGAUCGUCUCUGUUCCCAACUUUCUCUCCAAGCCAAGAAACUUUGAUAUCUUUCAGCUCUUACAGUUCUUGCUCCUCACACCCUAG